UAUAAAAAUAAGUGCUGGUGGUAGAAAG
RNAcentral lists this non-coding RNA (28 nucleotides) under Mus musculus (house mouse). Lineage: Eukaryota; Metazoa; Chordata; Mammalia; Rodentia; Muridae. The record is from RNAcentral.